UUUUCUGAAUCAUCUUUAAGGGGUAGGAGCCUUGCCUGAUGUUACCCGAGUCCUCCGCCUCACCAGCACAGGACUGGGCGAAACGCCUACGGAACAAAAGCAAAUGACAAUGCCUUAGGUCGCCUCCAUCAAAGCUCCAUGAAUCUGACGGUGGGGUCAGAGUCCUGGGAAGGGUCCACCUUUGUGCCUUCCGUACAUUGCCUGGGUGGCACCCAGGAGGCUCCAGGGAACAGACAACGAGUGAGCGAAACCUCGGCUCCGCAGGGCCCGUGACUGCUCAUCCCUGCGUCCCAGAGGUGCUCGUGUUCGAGGGCCUUGUCUGGUCCUUGUUUUUGACACUACCUCUCCCCACUGUGGGUGCACAGAAGGCCCCAGAAGGCGGUCGGAAGAGAACAAGACCCAGAUUCCCGCCGCGCCCCGCCCUGCCUCCAUUAGAGCGUCCAGAAUAUUUUCCAUGUGUUAUUUCCGCUCCUCGGGGUGCCUGGGGUCCUGGGCCACUCUUAUGCCUCAGCCCCAGGCCCAGCACGGAAACUACGGCCAAGGAGCACCCAGGGCCCGUCCGUAGUAGCCCGGCUUAGAUGACCGGACGGCAGCCGGGUACACCUGGCGUUGUCCCCGACCCCGCCCCUGGCCGGGCGGCACCCGGAAAGCUCCCCGCCGGAGCCAGAGCGGCGAAGCAGGGCCAUGGCGACAGCGCCAGCAGUGUGCGCCCCGCAGGGUCCCCCGCCGGGUGCACCAUCCCCGCCGGUCAGCACGCCCGCGCCCGCGCCAGCGCCCGCGUCCGGCUUGGGCCGUUGCCGGAUGGCGUUGCUACUGGCCGUGGCGCUGGACGUGGCGGGCAUGGCGGCGCUGCUGACCGGCGUGUUUGCGCAGCUGCAGGUGCGGGGUCGUGACUUCGGCGACCUGCUCAUUUACUCCGGGGCGCUGCUAGUCUUCAUGAGCCUUCUGGGCUGGAUCCUCUGGUACACCGGCAACAUCGAGAUCUCGCGCCAGGAGCUCGAGCGCGACUACGGCCUGCAGCCCUCCGCGCUCGCCCGCCUGGCGCGUAAGCUCUCCCGCCGCUGGUCGGCGCCCGCUUCUGCCACGGCGGGCCAGCGUACGACGCCUGACUCCCGGGGAGCUCGCCGUGCCACCCGCGCGCCCCCGCCGCCCAACGCCGGCUCCCGCCGAGUACGCCUGCAACUAGCCACGCUCGAGGCCGCGCCCGGGGCGGCGGGCGCGGGCACGGAGUGAGCCCGAGCAGGAGUGCCCUUGCUGUCUGUACUCCGCAGAAAACUUCCCAUGUGUCCUUUAAGAUCCAACUCAACUCCGCUGCCUUUCUCUGGGUCUUCACAUUACCAGCUCAUGGCCCCACCUGCCAGGACCCGACCCAGAUGUGCAGCUUCUCCCAACAUCCUGUGGCCACCAGGAGGCCUCCCUGUGCUCCUCCGUCACCUGGAUAAAUGACUGCCUCCCA
Molecule: RNA transcript, 1456 nt
Organism: Phyllostomus hastatus (greater spear-nosed bat)
Lineage: Eukaryota; Metazoa; Chordata; Mammalia; Chiroptera; Phyllostomidae
Gene: TMEM238
Gene name: transmembrane protein 238
Exons: 3
Source: RefSeq, a predicted model, not a curated record